UUUAUACUUUAUUAGUAUACUAAUAUAUUAUAUAUUUUUACAUUGCACCCCUUAAACCCCUUUCCAAAGCUGCAAAGGCUGGAAACAGAAGCACAGCUUUCUCGAGGCGUGAAAACCAGAGGAGUAGAUCUCCAACCCCAAAUUUUUUUGCAGUCAUGUUGAAUCGCGGAACAAAGUCAAAGGCAUGGAAUGGACCUAAAAGAUGCCCGGUUAUGGUGCCGGUUAUGUUUCUUGUUUCAGUCUUAGUAGCAUUGCUGAUGUUUUUCCGCAAAAAUGAUGAAAACCCAAUUCCAGUGUAUGGUCUACCGAACCAAAAAUGGAAUGGGUUUGAGUCUUUGGUGCAAUUUAAUCCAGAAAGGGAAUUCAGGAAUGGCACGGAUUUGAUAUGGCAAAUACCUGAUUUGCCUAAGGCUGUUCUUUUUCUAGCUCAUGGAUGUAGUGGGAGAGCUGUCAACUUUUGGGAUAGGUCUUCUAAAUGCCCUGAAUGUGUUGGUUUGCCGGAGGAAAGGCUCCUUGUUCUUCAUGCUCUUGCUCGGAAAUUUGCUGUCUUGACUAUAUCGAGUGCAGGGAGAUGUUGGACGUUUGGGAAGGAAAGAUUGAUUGUUGAAGAUAUUAUCAGAUGGUGGGUUAAGAGACAGAACCUUGAAAAGCUACCUCUUGUGGCUUUGGGGGCCUCUUCUGGUGGAUACUUUGUAUCUGCACUGGCUAAUGAUUUGAAGUUUAGUAGUAUUGCACUUAUGAUUGCUGAAGGAAUGUUUGAUCAAAUGGACAUCAUAGAGGACUAUCCGCCAACCCUUUUUGUGCACAUGCCAAAAGAUGUACAUAGGCAACAAAAGAUAACUGAAUUUAUGGAAGUUUUGAAAAACAAAGGGAUUGAUGUUGCAGAGAUUGAAUGCAUGGAGUUGCCUCUGUCAACAACCUUUCUGUCUGACAGAAUCCCAGGUCUUGAUCAGACUAUUUCUGCUAGAUUGUUCAAUUUAUUCAAGGAGAAAGGCUUUAUAGAUGAGAAUGGGUAUAUGAAAAGGGAUGGGCGUAUGACACAUUGGAAACAAGCUCUCCAGGAAAGUAAGACUACUUUUCUGGAGAAGGGCUUAGCGCAUCCUGUUCAGGAGGAGCUAAAUCUCGCGUUUGCAUACCAUGAAAUGACUAGCUUGCAAUCUGAACAGAUCUUUAAAUGGUUUGAAUCUUAUAUGACUUGAGCAUUAUUCCUUUGUGCCACAUUCUCCUUUCUCGGCCAUGGAAGAGAUUUGCAAACUGUUUUGAACUGAAGUACUGUCUAUUCAGAAGUGAUUUGUACAUACAGCUCGUAGUUACAAUCCCUCAACUUUAGCUGGAUUAAAUUGUUUACUGCUUGAAGUUUGUCUGUAAACAACUAAGGACCAGAGAAUGUAAAGCUCCUAACUUGCACUAAAACCAAACUACGGCAUGCGCUAUGUAUUAGCUCAAUCCAAUCUGGUGCCUGCAUCAACAACCACAAACAAGGUUCAGAGGCUCAAGGCUGUAGAUGCUGAAGGAAAUAUCAGCAACAUCACACUCUAUACUUGUGGUGCUCUUCUUUUUACAUGAGAUACAAGCCCAAUCAUUAGACCAUAUUGUUUUAUCAAAUUUAUAAAGAUAAAAAUCAAAUACUAUAAAGUCAAGUGUUAGUUAAGCCUAUCCCCCUCAAUUAACUUUCAGCUAGCACUCUCUUAUUUCUUGAUGUACAUGAUUUCAAGUUACUAAAAUGUCAUGAUGCCUUGGCCUUGCACAAGUUCAUUUCUAUACUCUCGGAGAGCUUGAACCCCAACUAGUUAUAUUUAGAGCCUGGGUUGGUAUGCGUUUUAUUGUUGCAUUGUCAUAUCUUCUCUAGUCUUGGAAGCAACCCUCUGAUUUUAUUAGGAAUUAAAGUAAAUCAAAAUUUCCAAAAUUUUAAAAGGAAACAUGGAUGUCUUCUAAUUGAUUUUCUCUCUAUUACUAGACAUCUCUCUAUCCAUGUCUCUUAACAAAAUGACACAUGAAAUUAAUGUACCUUGAUUUAUUAUUAUUUUCUUUAGUGUUGAUCUACUUUCUGUGACUGGCUUUGCUUGGUGAAAUUUUUAUGGGGUAGCUGCAUCUGUCAUGAUCAUAUGGUAGCCACACUUGUUUAUUAACUUCUUGUUGACACUAUUUACUUUAAUUUAUUCAUUACUGCAAGUAAAAUUUACUGAUUUCAAGCUAUAUCUAUUGGAAUUUGUAUGUGUUAACCAUUGCAACUUAGCUUAUUUGUUACUUCUUGACAUUGCUGUUAGCAAUAGUUAAUUUUGAUAAUGGCUUUGAAACUUUUUUCUUUUAGGCAGAUUAAAACUUAGAGAAUUAUUUACAUUGGCACCUGAGGUGUCCUGAAAAUCAUCAGUGGACUAGAAAUAAUGGUGAAUCAGAUUCCCAAAGGGUUUAUGCUUCAUGCUGUUACCACCAUUUGAAGUAGUAGUUUCUAGACUUAUUUAAUUUUCCAUAACCAUCACAAAUUAAUUCAAACUUUAGAAAAUGAAUGGAGUUAGAUUGAGUUUAAUAAUUCACCUCAUGUGUAUAUACCUUGAAUGAGUGAGUCUGAAACAGCAUGUUGAAUGUUACAAUGACAUUUGAGUGCAAGGACGAAGUACUGAGACACUGGGUAGGAAUCUAAGAAGACAAUUUUCCUUUCUCACAAACAUCAUGAUGGCAAGUUCGGUAUCUCAUUUUGAAGUCCUGAGCCUCCAGGGAGAAAAGUAAGAAUGAUAAAUACUUAGGAGCAAUAACACGUUAUACUGGAAAGUGGUUUCCCGUAAUCAGCUGAUGAUUAGGGUUUUCAAUUGCCCAUAUUUUUUGUCAGAGGAUUGUUAACUUGUUAUCAAAUGUCAUGUUUACUUUGACAUUGUUGAUGAUUUCUGGUUGGUACUUUAGCUCUGGCUCAGUGUAUGUACAGUAGUGUUUUCCCUUUCUCUUAUCUGCAGGAUAAAGCGAGCAAAGAUAUAAUGCUUCCUCUCAUAGUGAAGAGUUUGAAUAAAAGCUGGAAUGACAAGUUGGAACUAGGGUAUUUUGCGCCCAGGCCUUCCUGCCCAGUUAUUUUCUUGUUGAGCUUCCUUUUUACUUUCAUUUGAGACAGAUCCCAUGAUUGUAAAAUUGUUGCUUCAAAUGUGACUUGGAAGGAAUGGCUUCUAGUUAACCAGGAUUGUCAUUAGAAUUUCUGUCAGAUGAAGACUUUGUUUUCUUCAUGUUGAUGAGAGGUAAACAUCUGUUUACCUUUUAUGAU
RNA transcript from Theobroma umbraticum, 3247 nucleotides. It is a transcript of the gene named secretion-regulating guanine nucleotide exchange factor, with no coding region annotated. Lineage: Eukaryota; Viridiplantae; Streptophyta; Magnoliopsida; Malvales; Malvaceae. The record is from RefSeq and is a predicted model, not a curated record.